ACACUCCUGCGGGAGGCAGCAGUGGGGAAUUUUGGACAAUGGGCGAAAGCCUGAUCCAGCAAUGCCGCGUGUGUGAAGAAGGCCUUCGGGUUGUAAAGCACUUUUGUCCGGAAAGAAAUCCUUGGCUCUAAUACAGUCGGGGGAUGACGGUACCGGAAGAAUAAGCACCGGCUAACUACGUGCCAGCAGCCGCGGUAAUACGUAGGGUGCGAGCGUUAAUCGGAAUUACUGGGCGUAAAGCGUGCGCAGGCGGUUUGCUAAGACCGAUGUGAAAUCCCGGGGCUCAACCUGGGAACUGCAUUGGUGACUGGCAGGCUAGAGUAUGGCAGAGGGGGGUAGAAUUCCACGUGUAGCAGUGAAAUGCGUAGAGAUGUGGAGGAAUACCGAUGGCGAAGGCAGCCCCCUGGGCCAAUACUGACGCUCAUGCACGAAAGCGUGGGGAGCAAACAGGAUUAGAAACCCCUGUAGUCCCAUGA
Molecule: ribosomal RNA, 476 nt
Filed under: uncultured organism
Description: partial 16S ribosomal RNA
Rfam family: Bacterial small subunit ribosomal RNA
Source: RNAcentral